RNAcentral lists this ribosomal RNA (491 nucleotides) under uncultured bacterium. RNAcentral's name for it is "partial 16S ribosomal RNA". It matches the Rfam family "Bacterial small subunit ribosomal RNA", at positions 29 to 506 of the family's 1533-position model. The record is from RNAcentral.
AGUGAACGCUGGCGGUAGGCCUAACACAUGCAAGUCGAACGGCAGCACAGUAAGAGCUUGCUCUUACGGGUGGCGAGUGGCGGACGGGUGAGGAAUACAUCGGAAUCUACUUUUUCGUGGGGGAUAACGUAGGGAAACUUACGCUAAUACCGCAUACGACCUACGGGUGAAAGCAGGGGAUCUUCGGACCUUGCGCGAUUGAAUGAGCCGAUGUCGGAUUAGCUAGUUGGCGGGGUAAAGGCCCACCAAGGCGACGAUCCGUAGCUGGUCUGAGAGGAUGAUCCGCCCACGUGGAACUGAAACAGGGUCCAGACUCCUACGGGGGGCAGCGGGGGGGAAUUUUGGAAAAUGGGCGCAAGCCUGAUCCAGCCAUACCGGGUGGGUGAAGAAGGCCUUCGGGUUGUAAAGCCCUUUUGUUGGGAAAAAAAAGCAGCAGGUUAAUACCCCGCUGUUCUGACGGUACCCAAAAAAUAAGCACCGGCUAACUUCGU